AGGGAACUAGUAUAUUUAGUACAAUGGUCUGUAAAACUGGAGGUUUGUUUCCCUG
This 55-nucleotide transfer RNA is filed under the name Strongyloides venezuelensis. Its description in RNAcentral is "tRNA-Tyr". Lineage: Eukaryota; Metazoa; Nematoda; Chromadorea; Rhabditida; Strongyloididae. The record is from RNAcentral.